RNAcentral lists this ribosomal RNA (445 nucleotides) under uncultured bacterium. RNAcentral describes it as "SSU rRNA". It matches the Rfam family "Bacterial small subunit ribosomal RNA", at positions 26 to 518 of the family's 1533-position model. The record is from RNAcentral.
AGAGCGAACGCUGGCGGCAGGCCUAAUACAUGCAAGUCGAACGGAUCCUUCGGGAUUAGUGGCGGACGGGUGAGUAACACGUGGGAACGUGCCCUUUGGUUCGGAACAACUCAGGGAAACUUGAGCUAAUACCGGAUGUGCCCUUCGGGGGAAAGAUUUAUCGCCAUUGGAGCGGCCCGCGUCUGAUUAGCUAGUUGGUAGGGUAAAGGCCUACCAAGGCUUCGAUCAGUAGCUGGUCUGAGAGGAUGAUCAGCCACACUGGGACUGAGACACGGCCCAGACUCCUACGGGAGGCAGCAGUAGGGAAUCUUGCGCAAUGGGCGAAAGCCUGACGCAGCCAUGCCGCGUGAAUGAUGAAGGUCUUAGGAUUGUAAAAUUCUUUCAGCGGGGACGAUAAUGACGGUACCGCAGAAGAAGCCCCGGCUAACUUCGCGCCAGCAGCCGC